UACAGAGGGUGCCAGCGUUGUUCGGAAUUAUUGGGCGUAAAGGGCGCGUAGGCGGCCUCGCAUGUCCGGUGUGAAAGCCCACCUCUUAAAGGUGGAAUUGCAUCGGAAACUGCGAGGCUGGAGUGCCGGAGAGGGUAGUGGAAUUCUCGGUGUAGAGGUGAAAUUCGUAGAUAUCGGGAAGAACACCGGUGGCGAAGGCGGCUACCUGGACGGUAACUGACGCUGAGGCGCGAAAGCGUGGGGAGCAAACAGG
Molecule: ribosomal RNA, 253 nt
Filed under: uncultured bacterium
Lineage: Bacteria
Description: partial 16S ribosomal RNA
Rfam family: Bacterial small subunit ribosomal RNA
Source: RNAcentral